Sinocyclocheilus grahami is the source of this 200-nucleotide long non-coding RNA. RefSeq lists it as uncharacterized. NCBI's taxonomy places the organism in Eukaryota, Metazoa, Chordata, Actinopteri, Cypriniformes, Cyprinidae. The transcript is spliced from 3 exons. The record is from RefSeq and is a predicted model, not a curated record.
ACUCCGUGAGGAAGCCUGCAGCGGACGCAAGACGCCGAACAGGACCAUCUGUGUUUCUCUCUCUUCCUCUGUGCUACACGCCGAAGAACAGGAUCCUACACGGAGAUCUCAUCAGGUGUUUGUCCCACUGAGAGACUCUUCAGGGUCCUGAAACCUCCUCCUAGAUACGCCACCAAUCAUCGCUGGAGUACCACCAACUA